RNAcentral lists this ribosomal RNA (253 nucleotides) under uncultured bacterium. RNAcentral's name for it is "partial 16S ribosomal RNA". It matches the Rfam family "Bacterial small subunit ribosomal RNA", at positions 524 to 776 of the family's 1533-position model. The record is from RNAcentral.
UACGGGGGGAGCAAGCGUUGUUCGGAUUUACUGGGCGUAAAGGGCGCGUAGGCGGCGCAACAAGUCACUUGUGAAAUCUCCGGGCUUAACCCGGAGCGGCCAAGUGAUACUGUCGUGCUAGAGUGCGGAAGGGGCUACUGGAAUUCUCGGUGUAGCGGUGAAAUGCGUAGAUAUCGAGAGGAACACCUGCGGCGAAGGCAGGUAGCUGGGCCGACACUGACGCUGAGGCGCGAAAGCGUGGGGAGCAAACAGG